Molecule: ribosomal RNA, 207 nt
Filed under: uncultured bacterium
Lineage: Bacteria
Description: partial 16S ribosomal RNA
Rfam family: Bacterial small subunit ribosomal RNA
Source: RNAcentral
UGCGUAGGUGGCAGUGCAAGUCAGAUGUGAAAGGCCGGGGCUCAACCCCGGAGCUGCAUUUGAAACUGCAUAGCUGGAGUACAGGAGAGGCAGGCGGAAUUCCUAGUGUAGCGGUGAAAUGCGUAGAUAUUAGGAGGAACACCAGUGGCGAAGGCGGCCUGCUGGACUGUUACUGACGCUGAGACACGAAAGCGUGGGGAGCAAACA